Molecule: transfer RNA, 75 nt
Filed under: Candidatus Woesearchaeota archaeon
Lineage: Archaea; Nanobdellati; Candidatus Woesearchaeota
Description: tRNA-Ile
Rfam family: tRNA
About the family: Transfer RNA (tRNA) molecules are approximately 80 nucleotides in length. Their secondary structure includes four short double-helical elements and three loops (D, anti-codon, and T loops).
Source: RNAcentral
GGGCCUGUGGCUUAGUCUGGCUAGAGCACUCGACUGAUAAUCGAGAGGUCGUGAGUUCAAAUCUCAUCAGGCCCA